GAUUGCUGUGACGUUGGGUGGUUCGCCGCCUCCGAUACUGCAAGAAGUCCAUUGAACCUUAUCAUUUAGAGGAAGGAGAAGUCGUAACAAGGUUUCCGUAGGUGAACCUGCGGAAGGAUCAUUG
Molecule: ribosomal RNA, 124 nt
Filed under: Disa uniflora
Lineage: Eukaryota; Viridiplantae; Streptophyta; Magnoliopsida; Asparagales; Orchidaceae
Also listed under: 1 other name
Description: partial 18S ribosomal RNA
Rfam family: Eukaryotic small subunit ribosomal RNA
Source: RNAcentral